This 794-nucleotide ribosomal RNA is filed under the name uncultured archaeon. RNAcentral's name for it is "bacterial SSU rRNA". It matches the Rfam family "Archaeal small subunit ribosomal RNA", at positions 85 to 876 of the family's 1478-position model. The record is from RNAcentral.
ACGGCUCAGUAACACGUGGAUAACCUGCCCUUGGGACCGGGAUAACCCCGGGAAACUGGGGAUAAACCUGGAUAGGUGAUGCUGCCUGGAAUGGUUCUUCACCGAAACACCUUCGGGUGCCCAAGGAUGGGUCUGCGGCCGAUUAGGUUGUUGGUAGGGUAACGGCCUACCAAGCCGAUCAUCGGUACGGGUUGUGAGAGCAAGAGCCCGGAGAUGGAACCUGAGACAAGGUUCCAGGCCUUACGGGGCGCAGCAGGCGCGAAACCUCCGCAAUGCACGCAAGUGCGACGGGGGAACCCCAAGUGCCACUCUUAACGGGGUGGCUUUUCAGAAGUGUAAAAAGCUUCUGGAAUAAGGGCUGGGCAAGACCGGUGCCAGCCGCCGCGGUAACACCGGCAGCUCAAGUGGUAGCCGCUUUUAUUGGGCCUAAAGCGUCCGUAGCCGGUCUGAUAAGUCUCUGGUGAAAUCCCACAGCUUAACUGUGGGAAUUGCUGGAGAUACUAUCAUGACUCGAGGUCGGGAGAGGCUGGAGGUACUCCCAGGGUAGGGGUGAAAUCCUGUAAUCCUGGGAGGACCACCUGUGGCGAAGGCGUCCAGCUGGAACGAACCUGACGGUGAGGGACGAAAGCCAGGGGCGCGAACCGGAUUAGAUACCCGGGUAGUCCUGGCCGUAAACGAUGUGGACUUGGUGUUGGGAUGGCUUCGAGCUGCCCCAGUGCCGAAGGGAAGCUGUUAAGUCCACCGCCUGGGAAGUACGGCCGCAAGGCUGAAACUUAAAGGAAUUGGCGGGGGAG